AGCGAACGCUGGCGGCAGGCCUAACACAUGCAAGUCGAACGAACCUUUCGGGGUUAGUGGCGGACGGGUGAGUAACACAUGGGAACGUGCCUUUAGGUUCGGAAUAACUCAGGGAAACUUGUGCUAAUACCGAAUGUGCCCUUCGGGGGAAAGAUUUAUCGCCUUUAGAGCGGCCCGCGUCUGAUUAGCUAGUUGGUUGAGGUAAUGGCUCACCAAGGCGACGAUCAGUAGCUGGUCUGAGAGGAUGAUCAGCCACAUUGGGACUGAGACACGGCCCAAACUCCUACGGGAGGCAGCAGUGGGGAAUCUUGCGCAAUGGGCGAAAGCCUGACGCAGCCAUGCCGCGUGAAUGAUGAAGGUCUUAGGAUUGUAAAAUUCUUUCACCGGGGACGAUAAUGACGGUACCCGGAGAAGAAGCCCCGGCUAACUUCGUG
RNAcentral lists this ribosomal RNA (434 nucleotides) under uncultured bacterium. Its description in RNAcentral is "partial 16S ribosomal RNA". It matches the Rfam family "Bacterial small subunit ribosomal RNA", at positions 29 to 507 of the family's 1533-position model. The record is from RNAcentral.